Molecule: ribosomal RNA, 372 nt
Filed under: uncultured organism
Description: bacterial SSU rRNA
Rfam family: Bacterial small subunit ribosomal RNA
Source: RNAcentral
CGUAGGUACCGAGCGUUAUCCGGAUUUACUGGGCGUAAAGCGCGUUCAGGCGGUUUGGCAAGUCGGGCAUGAAAUCUCUCGGCUCAACCGGGAGAGGUUGUCCGAUACUGCUGGACUUGAGGGCAGUAGAGGGUGGUGGAAUUCCGGGUGUAGUGGUGAAAUGCGUAGAUAUCCGGAGGAACACCAGUGGCGAAAGCGGCCACCUGGACUGCACCUGACGCUAACACGCGAAAGCUAGGGGAGCGAACGGGAUUAGAAACCCCGGUAGUCCUAGCUAUAAACGAUGUUGACUAGGUGUCGGAGGGUUAAAAUCCGCCGGUGCCGGAGCAAACGCAUUAAGUCAACCGCCUGGGGACUACGGCCGCAAGGUUA